UCCUUGCAACAAAAUGUGACAACACUAACUGGCCAAGUCAACACUCUAAUUACCCAGAGAACAGUGGAAGCACGUGAUGAGACAACAACAACGAGAACCGGAAACACGUAGAUUCCUACUUUCGCUUCAUCCGGAAGUCAAAGAAGUGAAGAAGUAAACAAUGCCAAUGGUCUUAAUUUCAACCUGGAGACAGCCUACUCCGCUCUGAGAACUAACGCAUUGCCAACGGCUGCAGCGGGUAGCGAAGAACAAGCUCUUAGGAACAAUCGCUAUGUUCAAACACCAAGAGGCUAUUCAGCCAAGUCUUUGCCGUUUGUGGAAACAGUGACACCACAAGUAAGGAGAAGCAUUAUAACAGAUGAGGAAGUUUCGCUUACUACAACCACUGGCAGAUCGAGAACCAACACCUUGCCUGAAGCCAUCCCAGUUAAUGAUGAGUUGAUUCAACAAGUUGAUGAAUUAUGGGAAGCCUGCCUUUGUCAGAGUACAAAGCAGGCAUAUAUGACUGGUGUUAAAUGUUUUCAAAACUUUAUGGUUAUGAAUGGAAAAGACUGUUUUUUAAAUGCAUUGCCAUAUAUAGAUGAAAAUUGUUUGAUUUUUUUUGUUGCCUAUUGUAAAAAUUCGUUAAAACUAGCACAUUCAACUGUUAAAUUGUAUUUAGCAGGUAUAAGACACUAUUUUUUAAAACAGGGUCAUUCAGACCCGCUAGCAAAUACUGUUCGUUUGCAGUGCAUUCUAAGAGGUUUAAAAAAGUCUCAGUGUAAUAUACGUCCUAAACGAAUGCCUAUUACUUCUUCGAUUUUAAAAGAACUAUGUAAUUUGUUAAGAUCUGGGGUAUUUUCUCCAUUGGUUGAUUAAAUGCUACAAAGCGCAUUUAAUUUAGCUUUUUUUGGAUUCCUCCGAUGUGGAGAAUUUACUUGUCGUAGUAAAGACUUUUCUAAGGAUACCAUUGUUUCAAUUCAAGAUAUUUCUUUAGAUGUGUCACUAAAAAAUUUAGUUUUCCAUUUACAUUCUUCUAAGUGUGAUCCAUUCAGGCAAGGUGUAAAUAUUACUAUCUUUGAAAACAAUGUUUUUCACCCUGUAGCUACCUUGAGAAAAUAUAUCAAAUUCAGAACUGAUUCAGGAGCUAAGCCUCAGUCGCCUUUGUUUGUUAACGAUGAUUAUGACCAUACUCCCUUAUCAAGGGAUCGCUUUAUUUCUUUGCUGCGAGAUUUACUUUUUAGACUUGGGUAUAAAGAUGAUAAAUUUUGUGGGCAUUCAUUUAGAAUAGGAGCAGCUACAUCUGCAGCUGCUGCAGGAAUUGAAGACCACAUUAUUCAAACUUUAGGUAGAUGGUCAUCUGAUUGUUACAUGCGUUAUAUUUGAACCAACCCUAAAACUAUACAUGCAGCUCAAGAUAAAAUGUGUUUUUAAGUGAACAUUUCUCUUAGUAGAUUUUAUACAUCAUUUCAUAUUGUUUGUACAUAAAUGUGAGGUUAAAUAUAUAUAUAAUUUGUAUUUUUUUUUAAAGGUACUAUUAUUCAUUGUUUUUUAUCAUAUAUGAUGUAUCUUUUCUUGGGGGCUUUCACUCAUUAAUUUCGCUCAUUUUGGCCAACAUAAUUUCAGGGAAAUUAUUUUCCCCCAAUUCAUUUAUACAUAUUUAAAAUUAUUAAGUACAUUUGUACACCUGCUGGCAUCUACCGCAGGAUCUAUUGUUAUUCGCAUUAGGUAACCUGCUGGCAUCUACCGCAGGAUCUAUUUUUAUUCACAUUAACCUGCUGGGAUCUACCGCAGAAUCUAUUUUUAUUCACAUUCACCUGCUCGGAUCUACCACAGGUUCUCGAAAUUAGUUUUGUCUGCUCGGAUCUACCACAGGCAUAAGUAAUAUAUAUUUUUUGUAUGUUUUGUCUGCUCGGAUCUACCACAGGCAUAAGUAAUAUAUAUUUUUUGUAUGUUUUGUCUGCUCGGAUCUACCACAGGCAUAAGUAAUAUAUAUUUUUUGUAUGUUUUGUCUGCUCGGAUCUACCACAGGCAUAAGUAAUAUAUAUUUUGUGUAUGUUAUUCGUCAGAAACUGUAAUGAGUAGCCCCCUAGAAAGCCAAAUGUUACAUCAAGGUAUUAAUAUGUAAAUGUUUUACUAUUAACUAUGUUUUUUAUAUUAUAUGAAAAUGUUUUAGUCCUUAGUGAGUUUUAGUUUUUUGUUUUAAUAAAUAGUUUAGUUUUA
Molecule: long non-coding RNA, 2202 nt
Organism: Mytilus californianus (California mussel)
Lineage: Eukaryota; Metazoa; Mollusca; Bivalvia; Mytilida; Mytilidae
Exons: 2
Source: RefSeq, a predicted model, not a curated record